CAAAUUUAGAAACACUAAAGAAAAAGCAAGAAAAAGAGUCUGUAGAAACAAAGAAAGAGACACAAGUGACAAAAGCUAAAGAACCAGCAAAAGAGAAGAAAGAUUCACUAGUAAAAAAACAUGAGGAGCCAGCAGAACUAAAGACAG
This is a long non-coding RNA of Pseudophryne corroboree (corroboree frog), 147 nucleotides long. RefSeq lists it as uncharacterized. The record is from RefSeq and is a predicted model, not a curated record. The transcript is spliced from 3 exons. NCBI's taxonomy places the organism in Eukaryota, Metazoa, Chordata, Amphibia, Anura, Myobatrachidae.